RNAcentral lists this long non-coding RNA (2792 nucleotides) under Podarcis lilfordi (Lilford's wall lizard). The record is from RNAcentral. Lineage: Eukaryota; Metazoa; Chordata; Lepidosauria; Squamata; Lacertidae.
UGUUAUAGAUAAAUAGCCUUGUUGGAGGUUAGGAAAUGUCAAGAACAAUACAGUUGCCUGCAUUCCUCCCAGAGAUGAACUGGCGGAAUGGUGGAAGGUGCUACUGGAGGAAGGGUAUUUUGGCUUAAGAGGUGAUGCUGAGGGAAGGGUUUUUGGUUUUUUUAGCCAUUUCUUUUCUCUGUCUGGGCUAAUUCCCUGACUAUAAGGAGCCCAAUCCUCUACAUGUCUCCUCAAAAGCAAGUCCUCUUGAGUUUCAUGGGGCUAAUACUCAGGAAACUAGGAACACGACUGCAAUCAGUCUUCUCAAGCUGCUAAUAGGCUUGAGGUAAAAUCAAGUAAGUACCUGUUAGAACUGUGCUCUUAAUGGCCUCUUGAAAUUCUCUGUCCUAUUAGUGGGCAAAGAAGUUGGGUGGGUGAUUUUACCACCUUUCUCCAGACUGAGGAGAAAUUCUUCAACCAUUUAUUGGGAAUGUGUGUGUGGGGGGGGAUGUGUGUGUAUGGGCUCACCAUUAGCCGUGGGAGUAGCAAACUUUUUAUAUUUUUAACCUAACGUUGUUUUUUGCUGCUGCCAAUGACAACAGAAGCAAAAUGGCCGCCAUUUUGAAUCCUCCACAAUGUCCUUGACCUGGAGUCCUUCCAAGGCACUGUGAGGAAAAUAUGGUGGCCAUCACACACAAACAAAAAAGAUGGUGAGGAAUACUUGGGGGAUUUUUUAAAAACAGCUUUUUAUGGCUUUCAUUUUCUGAGGGGAGGUGGGUGAGAAAAAGAAAAUUCUCAAAAAAAUUCUCUUCAUGGUUAAUAAUAUUUGGGGGGAACGGACAGGGAAAUGUGUGGGGAAAGGAUUAACUGGUCUCCCAACCACAACCCUAUUCCUCCUGACCCCAUUCUCCCCUUCCUCCUGGAUUGUUUUUAGGCAAAGGAAAAUAUAUCUGGAGAACUGACCAUGGAUCCCUCACAUCAUAUUUAGUCUGUGAAAUGCAGAAAUUGUCCAUGCCUGCUCUGGAAUAAGGAGCAAUAUUGGUAGCAACAUAUACCAAUACAUUCGUGCCGGGAGCAUAUGCGGUGAUAAUUAUUGAAUGCGCUGAACUAGUGCACUUUUCCUCAGCUGGCGUUUGAUUAGCUUUUCUUGUAGCUGCUUCCUGGUUAAGGAGGCUUUAAAAAACACACAAAAAAACACCACCACAGCAAACCCUUUAACCACCUCACCUCCUUCACUUAUGUACACACGCAUAUAAAACCCCAAGAGAGAGAGAAGACAAGGAUAGUAAACAUCCAAAGGUCAUACAGAGGCUGUUGUCUAGUAAUUUUCACUUCCCCUUGCACGGCCUGCAAAACACACAGACACACACACCUGUUUCAUUCAAGGUUUUGGAGAGAAGGAGUGGGAAAUCUGUUGCAUUCAACCCGCCCUGCCCCCGCCUGCAAAUUUUGAGACUUUUUGUCCAUGCAAAAUAUGGAAGGGUAAAAAGACCACAGCUUUUCACUCUGUUUCCAUACCAUAAGCACAUUUAACCACCCUGUCAAAGAAUCCUGGGAACUGUAGUUUAAAGGUGCUGGGAACUGUAGCUCUGAUGGGUAAACCUAAACUCCCAAUAUUGUUUGAGAGUAUGUGUGUGCUUUAAAUGUAUGGUGUGUAUGCAGUCUGGAUGAAUUGAUUCCAAAAACUCCAUUACCCUCUCCUCCCAGUUUUGAGGCUGCCCUUCAUACAAAAUAUGGAACAUGGUGGGGCAGAAGGGAAGAAUAUAGCUUUUCACUCAGUUGAUCCCAAACAACUGCUGUGGUUGCUGCAUUGGGCUUCAUGGUCACAACAGAUCAAUGCCGGAGAGAAUGGCCACUCGCUGCAUAAACCAGCAGUACAAUCCUGUAAAUAUCUGUCAACCCAAGAAGUUCAGUGAGGCUUCUUGCAGAGUAAGGCUAGCUCUGGGUAUAGCAGCCCAAGUGUGUGAGCCUCAGCUCCUUCCAGGUGACCUUGACAAUGAAAUGGCAAGGACACAAGAAGGUCAUACCAUUUUAUGCCAGAGCUAAUUUGCAACAACCAGCACCUUUCAGGUUUACUGGAUCUGAACCAGUCUGGAAUAGCCAGCAUCCUCAGGUUUCCCUGGCCACACACAAAAUGACCAUCUUUUAUUCUGGAACAGCUCACUUAACCCCUGCCUAGUCCUCAACUCGCAAUCUAUAAUGUGGAUUAUUAAGAGUAUUCCAGGAACACACAAACACACCUAAACCCUUUUUAUAACCACCCUGACUGGAGCAAGCCUAUUAAGGAGCAACUAAUCUGCAUUAUUUCAGAGUUCACUCCUGAAGUGAAGCUGCCCAAAAGGUGUUACCCCCCCCCUUUUAAGGAUUUGCAAAGCUCCUGAUUUUAGCACGCUAAAAGGAAAAUGCAAACCAAGGCAGACAGAGAAAAAACAAACACGCAAACACACACACACACACACACACACACACACGGGUUACACUGAUUUGCUGGUCUUGGUUUCUUCUGCAGCUGUUGAAGCUUCUGCUGUGGCUUCAAGAAAAGGGAAGGAGGAGGCUGGCCAGGAAGCAGGAAGAAGAGAGCAAAAAAUAAUAAUAAAAAUGAACCUGUUCCACUCUCUGCUGACUCAGAGCUCAGAAAGGUGAGGCUUUCUUAAAUCCUUCCUGUCAAUCCCCUUCUUAAGAGGCUGAUCCUGCGCUGGCGGCUGCUCUCCCCUCCCAAGCCGGCUCCGCAAUGCACUCCCAGCGAGGAGGUGGCACCGCGCAACCCCGCAUGCAACGCGGCGCGCACAGCCCCACACUCUCUCUCCAGACGC